GGGAAGUAAAAAGUCGUAACAAGGUCUCCGUAGGUGAACCUGCGGAGGGAUCAUUACUGAGUGAGGGCCUUCGGGCUCGACCUCCAACCCUUUGUGAACACAACUUGUUGCUUCGGGGGCGACCCUGCCGUUUCGACGGCGAGCGCCCCCGGAGGCCUUCAAACACUGCAUCUUUGCGUCGGAGUUUAAGUAAAUUAAACAAAACUUUCAACAACGGAUCUCUUGGUUCUGGCAUCGAUGAAGAACGCAGCGAAAUGCGAUAAGUAAUGUGAAUUGCAGAAUUCAGUGAAUCAUCGAAUCUUUGAACGCACAUUGCGCCCCUUGGUAUUCCGAGGGGCAUGCCUGUUCGAGCGUCAUUUCACCACUCAAGCCUCGCUUGGUAUUGGGCGCCGCGGUGUUCCGCGCGCCUCAAAGUCUCCGGCUGAGCUGUCCGUCUCUAAGCGUUGUGAUUUCAUUAAUCGCUUCGGAGCGCGGGCGGUCGCGGCCGUUAAAUCUUUCACAAGGUUGACCUCGGAUCAGGUGAGGGAUACCCGCUGAACUUAAGCAUAUCAAUAAGCGGAGGAA
Molecule: ribosomal RNA, 564 nt
Filed under: Cercospora chrysanthemi
Lineage: Eukaryota; Fungi; Ascomycota; Dothideomycetes; Mycosphaerellales; Mycosphaerellaceae
Description: eukaryotic LSU rRNA
Rfam family: 5.8S ribosomal RNA (bases 203-356)
Source: RNAcentral